Molecule: ribosomal RNA, 253 nt
Filed under: uncultured bacterium
Lineage: Bacteria
Description: partial 16S ribosomal RNA
Rfam family: Bacterial small subunit ribosomal RNA
Source: RNAcentral
UAUGUAGGGUGCGAGCGUUGUCCGGAAUUAUUGGGCGUAAAGGGCUCGUAGGCGGUUUGUCGCGUCGGGAGUGAAAACCUUGGGCUUAACUCAGGGCUUGCUUUCGAUACGGGCAGACUAGAGGUAUGCAGGGGAGAACGGAAUUCCUGGUGUAGCGGUGAAAUGCGCAGAUAUCAGGAGGAACACCGGUGGCGAAGGCGGUUCUCUGGGCAUGAUCUGACGCUGAGGAGCGAAAGUGUGGGGAGCGAACAGG